CCUACGGGAGGCAGCAGUGGGGAAUAUUGGACAAUGGGGGCAACCCUGAUCCAGCCAUGCCGCGUGUGUGAAGAAGGCCCUCGGGCUGUAAAGCACUUUCAGUGAGGAAGAACGCCUGGUGGUUAAUACCCAUCAGGAAAGACAUCACUCACAGAAGAAGCACCGGCUAACUCCGUGCCAGCAGCCGCGGUAAUACGGAGGGUGCGAGCGUUAAUCGGAAUUACUGGGCGUAAAGCGCGCGUAGGUGGCUUGAUAAGCCGGUUGUGAAAGCCCCGGGCUCAACCUGGGAACGGCAUCCGGAACUGUCAAGCUAGAGUGCAGGAGAGGAAGGUAGAAUUCCCGGUGUAGCGGUGAAAUGCGUAGAGAUCGGGAGGAAUACCAGUGGCGAAGGCGGCCUUCUGGACUGACACUGACACUGAGGUGCGAAAGCGUGGGUAGCAAACAGGAUUAGAUACCCUAGUAGUC
Molecule: ribosomal RNA, 465 nt
Filed under: Vreelandella stevensii
Lineage: Bacteria; Pseudomonadati; Pseudomonadota; Gammaproteobacteria; Oceanospirillales; Halomonadaceae
Description: partial 16S ribosomal RNA
Rfam family: Bacterial small subunit ribosomal RNA
Source: RNAcentral